Molecule: ribosomal RNA, 574 nt
Filed under: uncultured bacterium
Lineage: Bacteria
Description: partial 16S ribosomal RNA
Rfam family: Bacterial small subunit ribosomal RNA
Source: RNAcentral
UGGGGAAUUUUGGACAAUGGGCGAAAGCCUGAUCCAGCAAUGCCGCGUGUGUGAAGAAGGCCUUCGGGUUGUAAAGCACUUUUGUCCGGAAAGAAAUCCUUGGCUCUAAUACAGUCGGGGGAUGACGGUACCGGAAGAAUAAGCACCGGCUAACUACGUGCCAGCAGCCGCGGUAAUACGUAGGGUGCAAGCGUUAAUCGGAAUUACUGGGCGUAAAGCGUGCGCAGGCGGUUUGCUAAGACCGAUGUGAAAUCCCCGGGCUCAACCUGGGAACUGCAUUGGUGACUGGCAGGCUAGAGUAUGGCAGAGGGGGGUAGAAUUCCACGUGUAGCAGUGAAAUGCGUAGAGAUGUGGAGGAAUACCGAUGGCGAAGGCAGCCCCCUGGGCCAAUACUGACGCUCAUGCACGAAAGCGUGGGGAGCAAAACAGGAUUAGAUACCCUGGUAGUCCACGCCCUAAACGAUGUCAACUAGUUGUGGGGAUUCAUUCCUUAGUAACGUAGCUAACGCGUGAAGUUGACCGCCUGGGGAGUACGGUCGCAAGAUUAAAACUUAAAUGAAUUGACGGGGUCAUA